RNAcentral lists this ribosomal RNA (465 nucleotides) under uncultured bacterium. RNAcentral's name for it is "partial 16S ribosomal RNA". It matches the Rfam family "Bacterial small subunit ribosomal RNA", at positions 338 to 795 of the family's 1533-position model. The record is from RNAcentral.
CCUACGGGAGGCAGCAGUGGGGAAUAUUGCGCAAUGGGCGAAAGCCUGACGCAGCGACGCCGCGUGAGGGAUGAAGGUCUUCGGAUCGUAAACCUCUGUCAGCAGGGAAGAACGGUCACUGUGCUAAUCAGCAGUGAAUUGACGGUACCUGCAAAGGAAGCACCGGCUAACUCCGUGCCAGCAGCCGCGGUAAUACGGAGGGUGCGAGCGUUAAUCGGAAUUACUGGGCGUAAAGCGAUCGUAGGCGGUAUGUCAAGUCAAGGGGGAAAUCCCCGCGCUCAACGUGGGAACUGCCUUUGAAUCUGGCAAACUGGAGUGUGUGAGAGGAGAGUGGAAUUCCAGGUGUAGGAGUGAAAUCCGUACAUAUCUGGAGGAACAUCAGUGGCGAAGGCGACUAUCUGGCACAUAACUGACGCUGAGGAGCGAAAGCGUGGGUAGCAAACAGGAUUAGAUACCCCAGUAGUC